RNAcentral lists this ribosomal RNA (468 nucleotides) under uncultured bacterium. Its description in RNAcentral is "partial 16S ribosomal RNA". It matches the Rfam family "Bacterial small subunit ribosomal RNA", at positions 28 to 507 of the family's 1533-position model. The record is from RNAcentral.
GACGAACGCUGGCGGCGUGCUUAACACAUGCAAGUCGAACGGAAAGGCCCUGCUUUUGUGGGGUGCUCGAGUGGCGAACGGGUGAGUAACACGUGAGUAACCUGCCCUUGACUUUGGGAUAACUUCAGGAAACUGGGGCUAAUACCGGAUAGGAGCUCCUGCUGCAUGGUGGGGGUUGGAAAGUUUCGGCGGUUGGGGAUGGACUCGCGGCUUAUCAGCUUGUUGGUUGGGUAGUGGCUUACCAAGGCUUUGACGGGUAGCCGGCCUGAGAGGGUGACCGGCCACAUUGGGACUGAGAUGCGGCCCAGACUCCUACGGGAGGCAGCAGUGGAGAAUAUUGCACAAUGGGCGGAAGCCUGAUGCAGCAACGCAGCGUGCGGGAUGGCGGCCUUCGGGUUGUAAACCGCUUUCGCCUGUGACGAAGCGUGAGUGACGGUAAUGGGUAAAGAAGCACCGGCUAACUACGUG